CUGCCUCCUGAACGCCUCCCACUGGAGAUUGAGCCAGCAACCCAGGCAUAUACCCUUGACCGGAAUCAAACCUAGGACCCUUCAGUCCGCAGGCCAAUGCUCUAUCCACUGAGCAAAACUGGCUAUGGCUCAUAAAAAUUAUAGCUGUUAUUAAGUGUGCUGCUUGUCAGAUAUUAACUAUAUAUUUAAUUAUUUAGUUCUCAAAUGCUCUAUUUCCAUCUUCAUGUAUUAUAGGGAAACAUUUGUACAGCGGGUCCUUGAAUAAUGUUUUGUUCAAGGUCCUUUAUAACAUUGAACUUAACUCUUGUUUAUUUAUAUGAACCUGUGCUAAAUAAAAUCUGUUUCAGUAGAUAUUGUUUGGCUUAAAGUCACAACCUAUCGAUGACGUUAAGUGAGGACUUAUUGUCUACAAGUCAUCAUUCUUUUCUCCUUAGUACCUGUAGCCAGAUACUGCAUACAGUUGUAUGUGGCCAAAACUGAGAGUACUGAGAUCAGGGUUUAGGGUUUUACUGGGGUCACUCUGCCUUGUAUGGCUCAGUGAUGGAAAACUAGAGUUGGGGGUGGUUGUAUUAGUGGGCUAAGGCUGUCAUAACAAAGUACUACAGACUGGGUCACUUAAAAGAAAUUUAUCCCUCACAGCUCUGAAGGCUGGAAGUUCAAGAUCAAAGGUGUCAUCAAGGUCUGACUAUAGGGGGAUAUGGUCAAUAUCUGGGGAGGCCCAUGUGUGUCUGUGGUUGAGAGGCUGAAGCUAUGGAGGCCCAGGACCCCUGUGCUGCUGGGACAGACCCGAUGAACGUUACUUUCCCUUCAGUCUUUCAAGACCAUGUUAAUACGGGAAUUGAAGAUGUGGCUUUGGACUUCACCUGGGAGGAAUGGCAGCUUCUGGACCCGAUUAGGACCUGUACAGGGACGUGAUGUUGAGAACUACAGCCACCUGUCAGUGGGUGAGGACAGCUCCCCUGUGUCACUCAGAGGGUCCCCGGUCAGUGGCCUCUCCUCCUAGCUGCUUCAGAGUCUCUGUAGUGCUCUCAAGUGAUAGAUUCUCAGACCCCUCUCUGGCU
Long non-coding RNA from Myotis lucifugus (little brown bat), 1061 nucleotides. RefSeq lists it as uncharacterized. The record is from RefSeq and is a predicted model, not a curated record. NCBI's taxonomy places the organism in Eukaryota, Metazoa, Chordata, Mammalia, Chiroptera, Vespertilionidae. The transcript is spliced from 3 exons.